UGGCGGCGUGCUUAACACAUGCAAGUCGAACGGGAAUUAUUUUAUUGAAACUUCGGUCGAUUUAAUUUAAUUCUAGGGGCGGACGGGUGAGUAACGCGUGGGUAACCUACCUUAUACAGGGGGGAUAACAGUCAGAAAUGACUGCUAAUACCGCAUAAGCGCACAGGACCGCAUGGUCCGGUGUGAAAAACUCCGGUGGUAUAAGAUGGACCCGCGUUGGAUUAGCUAGUUGGUGAGGUAACGGCCCACCAAGGCGACGAUCCAUAGCCGGCCUGAGAGGGUGAACGGCCACAUUGGGACUGAGACACGGCCCAGACUCCUACGGGAGGCAGCAGUGGGGAAUAUUGCACAAUGGGGGAAACCCUGAUGCAGCGACGCCGCGUGAAGGAAGAAGUAUCUCGGUAUGUAAACUUCUAUCAGCAGGGAAGAAAAUGACGGUACCUGACUAAGAAGCCCCGGCUAACUACGUGCCAGCAGCCGCGGUAAUACGUAGGGGGCAAGCGUUAUCCGGAUUUACUGGGUGUAAAGGGAGCGUAGACGGAUGGACAAGUCUGAUGUGAAAGGCUGGGGCUCAACCCCGGGACUGCAUUGGAAACUGCCCGUCUUGAGUGCCGGAGAGGUAAGCGGAAUUCCUAGUGUAGCGGUGAAAUGCGUAGAUAUUAGGAGGAACACCAGUGGCGAAGGCGGCUUACUGGACGGUAACUGACGUUGAGGCUCGAAAGCGUGGGGAGCAAUCAGGAUUAGAUACCCUGGUAGUCCACGCGGUAAACGAU
Molecule: ribosomal RNA, 773 nt
Filed under: uncultured bacterium
Lineage: Bacteria
Description: bacterial SSU rRNA
Rfam family: Bacterial small subunit ribosomal RNA
Source: RNAcentral